Long non-coding RNA from Lates calcarifer (barramundi perch), 453 nucleotides. RefSeq lists it as uncharacterized. The transcript has 3 exons. NCBI's taxonomy places the organism in Eukaryota, Metazoa, Chordata, Actinopteri, Centropomidae. The record is from RefSeq and is a predicted model, not a curated record.
ACAUGGGAAGAAGCAUAGAUCAAAUGAUGGAACCAGGUCGUUUGAUCUGCAAAUACAACACUCAGUGAAGGAAACUAAAAGAAGAGGAAGCAAAGAGAAGCCAGGGGGAGGACAUUCACAGAGCACAGGAGGAGUCUUUAAAAUCCCAGAGGAAACCACCUGCCUGUGUGUUUAUCCCAGUAAGCAGCUGCUCCGCGAAACCCUCCCACCUGACCAAGCUUCAUGUAAGCUUACUAUCUCUCUCACUCACACACACACACACACACACACACACACACACACACACACACAGUCGCAGUGAUGUCCUGUUUUGAUGCUGUGCCUGGAUGGAAAACAGUGAAGUAGUCUAAACGGACCAGACGUGUUUGUUUUACUAUCUUGGAGAGGGACGGAAAAAUCAGCUGAGGAACAAAGAGCUUUGAAAGUGCAGUCCCUUGUUGACGUGUGCGCACA